Molecule: small RNA, 107 nt
Filed under: Caballeronia glathei
Lineage: Bacteria; Pseudomonadati; Pseudomonadota; Betaproteobacteria; Burkholderiales; Burkholderiaceae
Description: Burkholderia glathei Burkholderia sRNA Bp1_Cand684_SIPHT
Rfam family: Burkholderia sRNA Bp1_Cand684_SIPHT
Source: Rfam by way of RNAcentral
AAGAAAGUGACUGCCGCCCCGCACAGGGGCGAAGCUAAUAAACCAAUAUCAAUGCAAGUUUCACAGAAGCGCAAGCGCAUCAGACGGUUCAACAAGAAAAGCCCAAC